This 250-nucleotide ribosomal RNA is filed under the name uncultured bacterium. Its description in RNAcentral is "partial 16S ribosomal RNA". It matches the Rfam family "Bacterial small subunit ribosomal RNA", at positions 524 to 773 of the family's 1533-position model. The record is from RNAcentral.
UACGAAGGGUGCAAGCGUUACUCGGAAUUACUGGGCGUAAAGCGUGCGUAGGUGGUUGUUUAAGUCUGUCGUGAAAGCCCUGGGCUCAACCUGGGAAUUGCGAUGGAUACUGGGCAACUAGAGUGUGGUAGAGGAUAGUGGAAUUUCCGGUGUAGCAGUGAAAUGCGUAGAGAUCGGAAGGAACAUCUGUGGCGAAGGCGACUAUCUGGGCCAACACUGACACUGAGGCACGAAAGCGUGGGGAGCAAAC